This 666-nucleotide ribosomal RNA is filed under the name uncultured Bacilli bacterium. RNAcentral's name for it is "bacterial SSU rRNA". It matches the Rfam family "Bacterial small subunit ribosomal RNA", at positions 98 to 751 of the family's 1533-position model. Lineage: Bacteria; Bacillati; Bacillota; Bacilli. The record is from RNAcentral.
GCGGACGGGUGAGUAACACGUGGGUAACCUGCCCUAAAGUGGGGGAUAACAUUUGGAAACAGAUGCUAAUACCGCAUAAAACCUAACACCGCAUGGUGUAGGGUUGAGAGAUGGUUUCGGCUAUCACUUUAGGAUGGACCCGCGGUGCAUUAGUUAGUUGGUGAGGUAAAGGCUCACCAAGACCGUGAUGCAUAGCCGACCUGAGAGGGUAAUCGGCCACACUGGGACUGAGACACGGCCCAGACUCCUACGGGAGGCAGCAGUAGGGAAUCUUCCACAAUGGACGAAAGUCUGAUGGAGCAACGCCGCGUGAGUGAAGAAGGUUUUCGGAUCGUAAAACUCUGUUGUUGGAGAAGAAUGUAUCUGAUAGUAACUGAUCAGGUAGUGACGGUAUCCAACCAGAAAGCCACGGCUAACUACGUGCCAGCAGCCGCGGUAAUACGUAGGUGGCAAGCGUUGUCCGGAUUUAUUGGGCGUAAAGCGAGCGCAGGCGGUUUCUUAAGUCUGAUGUGAAAGCCUUCGGCUCAACCGAAGAAGUGCAUCGGAAACUGGGAAACUUGAGUGCAGAAGAGGACAGUGGAACUCCAUGUGUAGCGGUGAAUGUGUAGAUAUAUGGAAGAACACCAGUGGCGAAGGCGGCUGUCUGGUCUGUAACUGACGCUGAGG